RNAcentral lists this ribosomal RNA (305 nucleotides) under uncultured bacterium. RNAcentral's name for it is "bacterial SSU rRNA". It matches the Rfam family "Bacterial small subunit ribosomal RNA", at positions 332 to 656 of the family's 1533-position model. The record is from RNAcentral.
UCGACCUACGGGGGGCAGCAGUGGGGAAUAUUGCACAAUGGGGGGAACCCUGAUGCAGCGACGCCGCGUGGGUGAAGAAGUCAUUCGUGACGUAAAGCCCUAUCAGCAGGGAAGAAAAUGACGGUACCUGACUAAGAAGCCCCGGCUAACUACGUGCCAGCAGCCGCGGUAAUACGUAGGUGGCAAGCGUUGUCCGGAUUUACUGGGUGUAAAGGGCGUGUAGCCGGGCUGACAAGUCAGAUGUGAAAUCCGGGGGCUCAACCCCCGAACUGCAUUUGAAACUGUUGGUCUUGAGUAUCGGAGAG